RNAcentral lists this long non-coding RNA (347 nucleotides) under Gallus gallus (chicken). RNAcentral describes it as "long non-coding RNA NONGGAT007980". The record is from RNAcentral. Lineage: Eukaryota; Metazoa; Chordata; Aves; Galliformes; Phasianidae.
CUGGAACAAGUUUCAUAUCAGAAGGAUAAAUUGUGCAGGAGCAGAAGACUCCACUGUGUAGGGACUUCAAGGAUCCCAAACGGACGUGCGAGGUCAGCGGGGCAGGCUGCAGAUGCUGCCUUCCAGCCACGUAGCGCACACGAGGAAUCAGAGACCAGCAAAGGCCCCAGUGUCACUGAAGUGCUAACGAAGUGCAGUGUGAGAAGCUGAACACACGCUUCCAGGGCGUCUGGGAUCACAGCCAAGCGUAAGGAUCCGAUCAAUCCACACUUUCAGUGUCUCUGAUGUACACCAACCAUUCCAUGAUGACUGCAUUCAAAACUAUCACCUCAACGUAAGCCUCUGCA